AACGAACGCUGGCGGCAGGCUUAACACAUGCAAGUCGAACGGUUGUAGCAAUACAGCAGUGGCAGACGGGUGAGUAACACGUGGGAACCUUCCUAGGGGUACGGAACAACUCAGGGAAACUUGAGCUAAUACCGUAUACGUCCGUGAGGAGAAAGAUUUAUCGCCCUUAGACGGGCCCGCGUAGGAUUAGGUAGUUGGUGGGGUAAUGGCCUACCAAGCCUACGAUCCUUAGCUGAUCUGAGAGGAUGAUCAGCCACACUGGGACUGAGACACGGCCCAGACUCCUACGGGAGGCAGCAGUGGGGAAUCUUGCGCAAUGGGCGAAAGCCUGACGCAGCGACGCCGCG
Molecule: ribosomal RNA, 347 nt
Filed under: uncultured bacterium
Lineage: Bacteria
Description: bacterial SSU rRNA
Rfam family: Bacterial small subunit ribosomal RNA
Source: RNAcentral